CAGGGGAUAAUGAAAUCUCGUGUAUGUUGUAUAUAUCUUUUAAUCAAUAUGUAAGCAUUAGUGAUAAAUUAGCUUUGGAAAAACAUCAUGUACAUUAAUGAUGAGCCUACUAUAUUAAGGCUCGUGUAUAUUAUUUCCAAUAUUCACAUUUUUCAGGAUUAUGUUUGGUACUUCAAUACAUCCGGGACAUUUCAUGGGCAGUGAGGCAAUCAGUGGUAGAAGAACUAACAGUUAGAAAUGAUAUGAAAUAAUAGCGGAUUAUGUUUGGUACUUCAAUACAUCCGGGACAUUUCAUGGGCAGUGAGACAAUCAGUGGUAGAAGAACUAACAGUUAGAAAUGAUAUGAAAUAAUAGCGGUAAGGUCAUACAAAUGUGCAAGUUUAAUAAUCGUAAGACAAUUGGAAUUACACUGUAUGUUGAUUUAAAGAGAGAGAAAUUGUGUUCACUUUUUGAAUCGGUAUUAACAAUGUGCAAUUGCGGCAUAUUUAUGUGUUGAUAAAUACACGGUCUAUAAUGAAAGCCUUUUCACUUAAUAGAUAACGUGCAAUAGAUAGUGACAUAGUU
Long non-coding RNA from Dreissena polymorpha, 564 nucleotides. RefSeq lists it as uncharacterized. The transcript has 2 exons. NCBI's taxonomy places the organism in Eukaryota, Metazoa, Mollusca, Bivalvia, Myida, Dreissenidae. The record is from RefSeq and is a predicted model, not a curated record.